UCGAACGAUGAACCACAUUCGGUGGGGAUUAGUGGCGAACGGGUGAGUAACACGUGGGCAAUCUGCCCUGCACUCUGGGACAAGCCCUGGAAACGGGGUCUAAUACCGGAUACUGACCCGCUUGGGCAUCCAAGCGGUUCGAAAGCUCCGGCGGUGCAGGAUGAGCCCGCGGCCUAUCAGCUUGUUGGUGAGGUAAUGGCUCACCAAGGCGACGACGGGUAGCCGGCCUGAGAGGGCGACCGGCCACACUGGGACUGAGACACGGCCCAGACUCCUACGGGAGGCAGCAGUGGGGAAUAUUGCACAAUGGGCGAAAGCCUGAUGCAGCGACGCCGCGUGAGGGAUGACGGCCUUCGGGUUGUAAACCUCUUUCAGCAGGGAAGAAGCGAAAGUGACGGUACCUGCAGAAGAAGCGCCGGCUAACUACGUGCCAGCAGCCGCGGUAAUACGUAGGGCGCGAGCGUUGUCCGGAAUUAUUGGGCGUAAAGAGCUCGUAGGCGGCUUGUCGCGUCGGUUGUGAAAGCCCGGGGCUUAACCCCGGGUCUGCAGUCGAUACGGGCAGGCUAGAGUUCGGUAGGGGAGAUCGGAAUUCCUGGUGUAGCGGUGAAAUGCGCAGAUAUCAGGAGGAACACCGGUGGCGAAGGCGGAUCUCUGGGCCGAUACUGACGCUGAGGAGCGAAAGCGUGGGGAGCGAACAGGA
Molecule: ribosomal RNA, 700 nt
Filed under: Actinomycetes bacterium
Lineage: Bacteria; Bacillati; Actinomycetota; Actinomycetes
Description: bacterial SSU rRNA
Rfam family: Bacterial small subunit ribosomal RNA
Source: RNAcentral